RNAcentral lists this small nucleolar RNA (81 nucleotides) under Piromyces finnis. RNAcentral's name for it is "Small nucleolar RNA snR60/Z15/Z230/Z193/J17". It matches the Rfam family "Small nucleolar RNA snR60/Z15/Z230/Z193/J17". Rfam says of the family: The members of this family belong to the C/D class of snoRNAs which contain the C (UGAUGA) and D (CUGA) box motifs. Most of the members of the box C/D family function in directing site-specific 2'-O-methylation of substrate RNAs. The family includes the yeast snoRNA snR60 (also known as Z15) and the corresponding human guide snoRNA U80 (SNORD80). Lineage: Eukaryota; Fungi; Neocallimastigomycota; Neocallimastigomycetes; Neocallimastigales; Neocallimastigaceae. The record is from Rfam by way of RNAcentral.
UAAAUAAGAAGGAUGAUUUCAUAGUUCAACAGAAAAAUCAGUGUUGAUUAACUUUUCUUUCGCUCCUAUCUGAUUUAUUUA